GGAUAGCUCAGUUAGUAGACCAUGAGGCUCUUAAUCUCAAGGCCAUGGGUUUAAGCCCCAUGUUGGGCA
RNAcentral lists this transfer RNA (69 nucleotides) under Podarcis lilfordi (Lilford's wall lizard). RNAcentral describes it as "tRNA.Lys". It matches the Rfam family "tRNA". From Rfam's summary of the family: Transfer RNA (tRNA) molecules are approximately 80 nucleotides in length. Their secondary structure includes four short double-helical elements and three loops (D, anti-codon, and T loops). Lineage: Eukaryota; Metazoa; Chordata; Lepidosauria; Squamata; Lacertidae. The record is from RNAcentral.